AGUCACGCUGUAAACGAUGUCGAUUUGGAGUUUGUUGCCUAGAGUGAUGGGCUCCGAAGCUAACGCGAUAAAUCGACCGCUGGGGAGUACGGCCGCAAGGUUAAAACUCAAAUGAAUUGACGGGGGCCCGCACAGCGGUGGAGCAUGUGGUUUAAUUCGAUGCAACGCGAAGAACCUUACCUGGUCUUGACAUCCAUAGAAUUCUGCAGAGAUGUGGGAGUGCCUUCGGGAACUAUGAGACAGGUGCUGCAUGGCUGUCGUCAGCUCGUGUUGUGAAAUGUUGGGUUAAGUCCCGCAACGAGCGCAACCCUUAUUCUUUGUUGCCAGCGAUUUGGUCGGGAACUCAAAGGAGACUGCCGUUGAUAAGGCGGAGGAAGGUGGGGACGACGUCAAGUCAUCAUGGCCCUUACGACCAGGGCUACACACGUGCUACAAUGGCGUAUACAAAGGGAAGCGAAGGUGCGAGCUGGAGCGGAUUUCAUAAAGUACGUCUAAGUUCGGAUUGGAGUCUGCAACUCGACUCCAUGAAGUCGGAAUCGCUAGUAAUCGUAGAUCAGAAUGCUACGGUGAAUACGUUCCCGGGCCUUGUACACACCGCCCGUCACACCAUGGGAGUGGGUUGCACCAGAAGUAGAUAGCUUAACCGCGAGGGGGGCGUUUACCACGGUGUGAUUCAUGACUGGGGUGAAGUCGUAACAAGGUAACCA
RNAcentral lists this ribosomal RNA (707 nucleotides) under uncultured Enterobacteriaceae bacterium. RNAcentral describes it as "bacterial SSU rRNA". It matches the Rfam family "Bacterial small subunit ribosomal RNA", at positions 793 to 1502 of the family's 1533-position model. Lineage: Bacteria; Pseudomonadati; Pseudomonadota; Gammaproteobacteria; Enterobacterales; Enterobacteriaceae. The record is from RNAcentral.